Molecule: ribosomal RNA, 296 nt
Filed under: uncultured bacterium
Lineage: Bacteria
Description: partial 16S ribosomal RNA
Rfam family: Bacterial small subunit ribosomal RNA
Source: RNAcentral
UGUUCCUACGGGGCGCAGCAGUGAGGGAUAUUGGUCAAUGGGGGAAACCCUGAACCAGCAACGCCGCGUGAGGGAAGACGGUUUUCGGAUUGUAAACCUCUGUCCUCUGUGAAGAUAAUGACGGUAGCAGAGGAGGAAGCUCCGGCUAACUACGUGCCAGCAGCCGCGGUAAUACGUAGGGAGCGAGCGUUGUCCGGAUUUACUGGGUGUAAAGGGUGCGUAGGCGGGUAAGCAAGUCCGAAGUGAAAUCCCUGGGCUUAACCCAUGAACUGCUUUUUAAACUGUUUAUCUUGAGU